This 514-nucleotide ribosomal RNA is filed under the name uncultured bacterium. RNAcentral describes it as "partial 16S ribosomal RNA". It matches the Rfam family "Bacterial small subunit ribosomal RNA", at positions 28 to 523 of the family's 1533-position model. The record is from RNAcentral.
GAUGAACGCUGGCGGCGUGCCUAAUACAUGCAAGUCGAGCGAACAGAUGAGAAGCUUGCUUCUCUGAUGUUAGCGGCGGACGGGUGAGUAACACGUGGGUAACCUACCUAUAAGACUGGGAUAACUCCGGGAAACCGGGGCUAAUACCGGAUAAUAUUUUGAACCGCAUGGUUCAAUAGUGAAAGACGGUUUCGGCUGUCAGUUAUAGAUGGACCCGCGCCGUAUUAGCUAGUUGGUAAGGUAACGGCUUACCAAGGCGACGAUACGUAGCCCACCUGAGAGGGUGAUCGGCCACACUGGAACUGAGACACGGUCCAGACUCCUACGGGAGGCAGCAGUAGGGAAUCUUCCGCAAUGGGCGAAAGCCUGACGGAGCAACGCCGCGUGAGUGAUGAAGUUCUUCGGAUCGUAAAACUCUGUUGUUAGGGAAGAACAAAUUUGUUAGUAACUGAACAAGUCUUGACGGUACCUAACCAGAAAGCCACGGCUAACUACGUGCCAGCCGCCGCCGUAA